RNAcentral lists this ribosomal RNA (376 nucleotides) under uncultured eukaryote. Its description in RNAcentral is "SSU rRNA". It matches the Rfam family "Eukaryotic small subunit ribosomal RNA", at positions 587 to 972 of the family's 1831-position model. The record is from RNAcentral.
AGCUCCAAUAGCGUAUAUUAAUGUUGUUGCAGUUAAAAUGCUCGUAGUUGAAUUUCUGCAGAAGCCAACGCGUGGUAGACUUUUUGUCGCUUUUGUGUUGGUUUCGCUAUGUGGUGGCCGUCUGUGCAUUCUUCAUUGAGUGUACGCGUUCAUCCGUUUUACUUUGAGAAACUUAGGGUGUUCCAAGCAUGUUAUCGCAUGAAUAUUCCAGCAUGGAAUAAAUUGGUACGACUUUGGCUCUGCCUUUUGGUUCGCAGGACUGAAGUAAUGAUUAACAGGGACUGUCGGGGGCAUUGGUAUUUUGACUGUCAGAGGUGAAAUUCUUAGAUUUGUUAAGGACUGCCUACUGCGAAAGCAUUUGCCAAGGAUGUCUCCA